Molecule: RNA transcript, 2894 nt
Organism: Glossina fuscipes
Lineage: Eukaryota; Metazoa; Arthropoda; Insecta; Diptera; Glossinidae
Gene: Rip11
Gene name: rab11 family-interacting protein 5
Exons: 7
Source: RefSeq, a predicted model, not a curated record
ACGAUAAUAAUAUUCAAGCCAAAAAAAAAAGUAUUGAAUCUAUCAAAUCGUACAAGAAUAAUUGUAAGAUAAAAGCGAAAAAUUGACGGAGAUCUGCAGAGAGAACAACAAUGUGGAGUCCAACACAUAUUAAAGUGACAAUACGCGGGGCCAGGGGCUUACUAACAAAAGGUAAAGCUAACACCAAUAAUUGCUUUGUUACCAUCGGCCUGGGGAAAGAACGUUAUCAGACUUCAAUUAAAGACAAGGCGGAGUCAAAUGUCACUUGGAAUGAAGAAUGCGAAUUAAAAAUUCCCGAUCAAGGCAAUCGAGCCGAACUAGUGUUGACAUGUCUGCAUCAUAACAAUUUGGGCUUAGAUGAAUUUCUUGGCCAAGUUACUUUGCCUUUGAAUGAAAUGGAUGUUUACGAUCGGCCACGAGCGAAAUGGUUCAAGCUCGAAAGUAAACCGGGUAAAGAGAAGAAGAACAAAGAGCGCGGUGAGUUGGAUGUUUUGAUAUCGUUUACUGUCAAAUCGGGUUCUCUGACCGAUCUUAGUAAAAAGGAGAAACACAAGUCUUCCAUUGGCCAAUUAGCCUCGUCGGUCGGCGGUAGCCUUUUAUCUAUUGGUACUUUAGAAAAACGUAAAGGCAUCAAAAAAUUUGCAAAGUCCUUGGGUUCAAAAAUGCAUUUGAAUGGCAAGAAAAAGAAUAAAGACAGCGAUGAUAUGUCUUAUAGCGGUUCAUUUGCCAGCAUUGGUUCGCCAAAUCGUGUCAAGGUCAUAGAUAGUGAAGAUGAAGAUGAUUUCCAAUUUGAUAAUUUGUCGCAGAAGAGCUCGGUAAGCUCUUUGAAUAUGCGCGACGGCGUGGCAAAACAUUCUCCACCUAUGGGUUCAGCGGGCAAAGGCUUUACGGGAGGUAAGGACUAUCUUAGAAACGAUGGAUCUGACAAUCUCAGUGUGGAUCCUGAAUUGGAGCAAAUUGAAAACGAUUUUAGUAUAAGAACGCGCACUUUGCCGCCGCCUUCCAAACCUCCACGCAUAACACCUCACAAUGAAAUUGCCGACGCGGUGAAGCCGCCACCAGUAGAUGAAUGGGAAGCAAAAUUAUAUGGACGUCAUUUGGAUAUAGGCGGUUCGGAGUCAUUAAAGAGGCGAUCCUGGGAACCAGCUUGUGUACCAUUGCCAACGGCUAACGAAGAGCAAGAUGACGAAACUCUAAAAGAGGAGAAACAGAAGUUAGAUGAGACGAAAUUUUUAACAGCAAUAGAAAACGAAGAAUUAACUAAGAAGCAUAAUAAUGAAAGGAUUGCAGAGAUAACAGCGAAGGAACCAGAAAUUAACUCUCCUAGUAUUAGCGAAAAAGAAGAGGAGGAGGAGAUCGAACAACGGAAGCAACCACAGCAACCGGACGUAGUCUUGCAAACUGCAAAGAAGCAUAAUUUAAAGGAUGAACGACCCAAUGAGCUAAAUCUGAGCAACGAAAUUCAACCUCAAAAGCUUUCUUUGAUAUCACCCGAAAACGAAAGAGAAGAAUUUGAUAAAUUUAAUGCAACAUUCGCUAAAUUCGAACAACGUCAUAGCGCGAAAAUUUUUGAUUUAGAAGCAGAAACCAAUAACUUUUUGCAAAAUGAAACUAAAAGUUGGAACAAUGUACCCCAACCUAAACCCAGAAUGCGCACACCGAUUGGCGAAGAAAGUAAAACAGAAGUCCUCGAAUCGAAAGUUGAGUUGAUCGUUUCGCGAACGGGAGAAGAGAUAAAAGAUGAAAAAACGAUUGAAAAGGAAAAAUUAGAAGAGAAGGAAAAAGAAAAAGAAGAGGAAAUUAAAGUUGAGAAACAGCGUUUACUAGAAGAGGAGAAGCGUCGUGAGGCUAAGCGGCGUGAGGAAGAUCAGCGAAUUUUAAAUUUUGCCAAACGUUUAGUGGUGGUUGAAGAGAAAGAUGAACAAACAGCUGAAGCUAAUAGCACUGAACAGAAGAAUAAACAAAUUCCAAAAGAGACAAACGAAAGUUCAACAGUAACGAAUGAAUAUCGAAACGUACGUCUCGCUAAAUCCAGAACAUUAAACAAUAAUGAAAAUAAUCAUCAAUUUAAUAACAAUCUCAAUUAUAUAAAACGAGAAAAGCAAAAUAGUUCACCAUCGACCACUCCCAGUCCACAAACAGGGGAACGUAUCAUUAUCGGUCAUGAAAAGUCUAUUACACAAGCUGAACGGCGAGCGGAAAUAUCAGCAGCUUUAGCGAAAAAGUAUGAAGGAAAAUCGCGAGAGGAACUCAUGCUUAUCGCCAAUGGUAUGGAAAAUGAAGCUUUACUGCAGCGUCAACGUGUUAAAGAGCUGGAGGACUAUUUAGAUAAUUUGCUUUUGCGUGUUAUGGAAACUCAUCCGAAGCUAUUGCAAAAUCCAUAUUCGCGCACUACAUCGGCAAAAAGUUUCAAAAAUUACAUCAAUAUGAACGAUUUUUUGUAAGCAUGCUUUGCGGCGCACCCUUUAACUACACAUAACGCCAUCAAACGCUUGCAUGAUAUGAAAUUUGUUUCUUUGUUGCCGCUCCUGAUGUUUUUUUUUAAAGAAGAAACUUUUCCAAAGCACCAACGGUUGAUAAUGUUGUUGCUGCACCGAAGUUGAUUAUAUAUGAUACUACUAAAACAAACAAACAAACAAACAAACAAAAAGAAAAAGAAAAGUAUUGAAAAUGACAAAAACGAUAAAACCACACAAAAAAAUCACCAUAAUGCCUUCAAGUGCAAAUUCGAAAAGUGCUUUUCUAAAUGUUAUAUAUAUAUAUAUAUAUAUAUAUAUAUAUAUAAAAUCUGUUGUUAUAGUAAACUCUAACUGCAUAAAAAAAUUGCGUAAAAUAAUUUUUACUAAUUAUUAUAUAAAAAUUUAAGAAAACGUUGGUAUUUUUAUUAAAAUUUA